Molecule: long non-coding RNA, 1057 nt
Organism: Daphnia magna
Lineage: Eukaryota; Metazoa; Arthropoda; Branchiopoda; Diplostraca; Daphniidae
Exons: 4
Source: RefSeq, a predicted model, not a curated record
UACUUUAACCUCGCAGCCAAUCUGGCGACAUUUGGUGUCAGAAGUGGGAUCGAGUGCUCGCUUCCCGGGGCUGUGACGGCGUGAUGACCCCUUGCUGAAACUUUUCAUCCUGCUUUAUCCGGUUCAUCCAGCUUGCUGAGACAUAUUUGUGCAUCCAUCGACAUUCUUCGUGAACAAAACUUGUCGCCAAACGUUUUAUUUGGGUUUACUUGAGCGAAUUUCAUCCAGAAUUGUUGGUCUUCGUGGCUGAUCCUUCCCAUCCUUUACGACGGCCACGUGCGGAGAGGUUCAGCGGCUUGGCGCCUAACCAACAUGGCAGAUCGUUGCUCAACACAGAUUAAGUGAGGGAACUUUGUCUGCCUGCCCGACGUGUGGCAACCAGGAUUGGGCUACCACGAUAGGAAAAGUACCGCGGUAUUACCGCGGUAUCCCAGUAAUACCGGAAGUACCGUACCGCGGUACAAAAAAAAACUACCGUACUGCAUUACCGGAAUGACUUUUUCAAGUCUGCGGUAGCGGUAUUUAUAUUUUAAUUCAAUUGCCAUCUAGCAUUUGUUUUGAAAAAUUUUUAGACAAUGGUUGUUUAAUCUGUUAGCAGUCGAUACCAAAGUUUUUCUACUGGUUUACUGAAAUUCUGGUCAUGAAAAAGUGAUUUUUUUCAACAUAAAUUCAUAAUGAGACUAGGUGUGCAUCAUAAUGAAACUAGAAGUAAAGAGCCAGAUUUAGACUUAGUGGGCAACUUGAAGCAAAUGAAAGGGAUCACGAACAUCGAAGUGUCAUUUCAUCUGAUGAAUAAACUGAUCAUGGUGAUGCUAGUAAUGCAAAGAAAUUUCCAACCUCUGCCCAAUCAUCAAAGAGGAAGUGUGGUGAUGGUAAUCUUGCCACUAUUGCUGGGGAAUAUCAAGGCUUACCAUAUCCUAUGCCGUCGGGUAACUUGGUUGUAACUUGGGUCCCUUUCUCACCCCUCGACCCUCUCCCAUACCCGACGGCAUAGCCGCAUGUAGGGACAACGAAUGCAGCACAUGUCGGGGGUGAUCCAAUAUUUCAAAAUGAUCCU